GCAUUCGUUUCUGCGCCUCUUCUUUAAUCAGAGUCUUCACUACGUCCAUAAUAGCCACGGUGAAUCUAUUUUCCGUUGUCAGCUCCGAUCAGGAUCAGUUUAGGCCACCAAGUUGGGACUUAGACACGAGUGGGAAGCUCCUUGGUGAAUCAUAAUAACUUAACCAAUCGCAUGGCCUUGCGCCGGCGAUGGUUCAUUCAAAUUUCUGCCCUAUCAACUCUCGAUGGUAGGAUAGUGGCCUACCAUGGUGGCAACGGGCAACGGGGAAUUAGGGUUCGAUUCCGGAGAGGGAGCCUGAGAAACGGCUACCACAUCCAAGGAAGGCAGC
This 328-nucleotide non-coding RNA is filed under the name Penicillium flavigenum. RNAcentral describes it as "Eukaryotic small subunit ribosomal RNA". It matches the Rfam family "Eukaryotic small subunit ribosomal RNA", at positions 171 to 429 of the family's 1831-position model. Lineage: Eukaryota; Fungi; Ascomycota; Eurotiomycetes; Eurotiales; Aspergillaceae. The record is from Rfam by way of RNAcentral.